CUUGAAUUGAAAUUUAUUUGUGUAAUGCAGGAAAACCGUGACACCGUCUAUAAACGCCACUAUAAGCUUUUCUACUAGGAUAGAAUUGAAAUUUAUUUGGGAUCAAUCCAACUGUACUCGUUCAAAAGAAGGUGAAUUGUGCAAGGAAACUAGAAAGCUCCGUGAAAUAGGAUAUGAUGAUGUAGCCAACAUACUCUUGGUUGACGAUUCAAAGCAUAAAGCCAAAUUAAAUCUACCGAAUACAGCAAUAUUUCCCACGUCAUACAACUACAAAAACUUGAAUGAUGAUGAACUGGGACCUAACGGCAAUCUUCGAUUAUAUCUUAAAGGAUUGGCAGCAGCUACUACUACAUCUGUUUCUGAUUAUGUCAGGGAUCAUCCAUUUUGUCCGUCACAAAGAAAGUAAUUUUGAGGAUUAAACCUGUUCCUAAAACAGAUUUGAGUAAUUAAGUGUAAAGAUGGAUAUAAAAUGGUGAAAAACAGUUGUAAGAUCGUGUUUUUCUUGUAGUGUUAGGAAGCAGCUAAACUGUUUUUAUUUAGAAAGCACUUAUUAUGUACUGAUUAGAAAAUCUUAUUAUGUUCUUGAUGAUUUUUCCUCCUUGUAUAAACACGA
Daucus carota subsp. sativus is the source of this 613-nucleotide long non-coding RNA. RefSeq lists it as uncharacterized. Lineage: Eukaryota; Viridiplantae; Streptophyta; Magnoliopsida; Apiales; Apiaceae. The transcript is spliced from 4 exons. The record is from RefSeq and is a predicted model, not a curated record.